RNAcentral lists this ribosomal RNA (468 nucleotides) under uncultured bacterium. Its description in RNAcentral is "partial 16S ribosomal RNA". It matches the Rfam family "Bacterial small subunit ribosomal RNA", at positions 28 to 507 of the family's 1533-position model. The record is from RNAcentral.
GACGAACGCUGGCGGCGUGCUUAACACAUGCAAGUCGAACGGAAAGGCCCUGCUUUUGUGGGGUGCUCGAGUGGCGAACGGGUGAGUAACACGUGAGUAACCUGCCCUUGACUUUGGGAUAACUUCACGAGACUAGAGCUAAUACCGGAUAGGAGCUCCUGCUGCAUGGUGGGGGUUGGAAAGUUGCGGCGGUUGGGGAUGGACUCGCGGCUUAUCAGCUUGUUGGUGGGGUAGUGGCUUACCAAGGCUUUGACGGGUAGCCGGCCUGAGAGGGGGACCGGCCACAUUGGGACUGAGAGACGGCGCAGACUCCUACGGGAGGCAGCAGUGGGGAAUAUUGCACAGCGGGCGGAAGCCUGAUGCAGCAGCGCCGCGUGCGGGAUGACGGCCUUCGGGUUGUAAACCGCGUUCGCCUGUGACGAAGCGUGAGUGACGGUAACGGGUAAAGAAGCACCGGCUAACUACGUG